UAGAAAGUGGUGUAGUGGAAGCACUAGGAGUUUUGAUCUCUCCAGGUAGGGUUCGAAACCCUUCUUUCUAA
Molecule: transfer RNA, 71 nt
Filed under: Austrofundulus myersi
Lineage: Eukaryota; Metazoa; Chordata; Actinopteri; Cyprinodontiformes; Rivulidae
Description: tRNA-Gln
Rfam family: tRNA
About the family: Transfer RNA (tRNA) molecules are approximately 80 nucleotides in length. Their secondary structure includes four short double-helical elements and three loops (D, anti-codon, and T loops). Further hydrogen bonds mediate the characteristic L-shaped molecular structure. tRNAs have two regions of fundamental functional importance: the anti-codon, which is responsible for specific mRNA codon recognition, and the 3' end, to which the tRNAs corresponding amino acid is attached (by aminoacyl-tRNA synthetases). tRNAs cope with the degeneracy of the genetic code in two manners: having more than one tRNA (with a specific anti-codon) for a particular amino acid; and 'wobble' base-pairing, i.e. permitting non-standard base-pairing at the 3rd anti-codon position.
Source: RNAcentral